This 468-nucleotide ribosomal RNA is filed under the name uncultured bacterium. Its description in RNAcentral is "partial 16S ribosomal RNA". It matches the Rfam family "Bacterial small subunit ribosomal RNA", at positions 28 to 507 of the family's 1533-position model. The record is from RNAcentral.
GAUGAACGCUGGCGGCGUGCUUAACACAUGCAAGUCGAACGGAAAGGCCCAAGCUUGCUUGGGUACUCGAGUGGCGAACGGGUAAGUAACACGUGGGUGAUCUGCCCUGCACUUCGGGAUAAGCCUGGGAAACUGGGUCUAAUACCGGAUAGGACGAUGGUUUGGAUGCCAUUGUGGAAAGUUUUUUCGGUGUGGGAUGAGCUCGCGGCCUAUCAGCUUGUUGGUGGGGUAAUGGCCUACCAAGGCGUCGACGGGUAGCCGGCCUGAGAGGGUGUAUGGCCACAUUGGGACUGAGAUACGGCCCAGACUCCUACGGGAGGCAGCAGUGGGGAAUAUUGCACAAUGGGCGCAAGCCUGAUGCAGCGACGCCGCGUGGGGGAUGACGGCCUUCGGGUUGUAAACUCCUUUCGCUAGGGACGAAGCGUUUUUGUGACGGUACCUGGAGAAGAAGCACCGGCUAACUACGUG